CUCUGGCUGCGCCUACACCACAGCUUUACUGAAAGGUUUGCUACCUAAUAAACUAAUCUUUAACAAUCGCCCUUCCGCGAAGGAGAUUUGGGAAAAAAGUAGUGUCAAAAAGGGUGCACAGGGGGAUAUAGAAAUGUUGACCAUCGUUGCAACGUGGUGGGUAUUAUGGUUGGAGCGCAACAAAAGAAUUUUUCAGCAAUCAAGACGGGUGCUGGGGAGUCCGUUUUUGGAGAUCAGAGUGCUUAGAGACUUGUGGAAUCGUUCAUGUAGUUGAUAUUAGAUGUUUUUGUUUUUCUUUUUGGUUUUCUUUUCUUUUCUUCUUUUGCUUUUCUCUUUUGUCUUUCUUCUGUUUUUCUCUUGUACCUUGAGUUUGUCUUUUUUCUUUUCCUCUUUCUUUCCUCUCAAGGCCCUGGAUGUCUCAAUCUGUAGCUAAAUUCACUCCCUAGUUGAAUGAAGCGGUAGCAUGCUACCUUUUCUCAAAAAAAAAACAUUCACUGCAAAAAAAUUUCAAUACAAAAACGCUUUUAAGAUGAUGCUUCGGAAAAGUGUCCCCAAGCGUCAACCCUACAAUAUAGCAAAUACCGACGCUUCAAAAAGCAUCAUUUUAUAAACCCUCUGUCGUAUCAAACUAAUUUAUUAAAUAAUAAAUUUUAUUAUUAUUUUUAAGUCGACGUUUUAAAGUAUCAGGAUUUCAAAUAUAUUUUACCUUACGCCAGACUAUAUU
Molecule: long non-coding RNA, 724 nt
Filed under: Ananas comosus (pineapple)
Lineage: Eukaryota; Viridiplantae; Streptophyta; Magnoliopsida; Poales; Bromeliaceae
Description: long non-coding RNA (ACOM_LNC004959)
Source: RNAcentral